This 691-nucleotide long non-coding RNA is filed under the name Prunus dulcis (almond). RNAcentral's name for it is "sRNA ncRNA". The record is from RNAcentral. Lineage: Eukaryota; Viridiplantae; Streptophyta; Magnoliopsida; Rosales; Rosaceae.
UAAUAGCAACGCCCAAUAGUUUAUAUUACUUGGGCAACGAAGAUGUUGAGCUCUUGGUAGCUCUGUCGAUGGCGUCUCUUUCUUUCACUCACUUUCUCCUCUUACCCAGGUUUUCUCUCUCUCUCUCUCUCUCUCUCUCUGUUGAUAACCCAGUCUUUUAAUUCAAAACCAUGUGGUUCCUUUGCUCCUUAAUUCAAAUGGAAAUCCCAAAUGAGCGGAAAUGGAAAAAUGAGGAAUCUUUUCUGGGUUUGGAUAAUUCUAGAGUUUUCUUCAUGGAUUUUAAGAUCAAAGCAAUUAUUAAUUGCACUUCCUUCAGCUCAAUUACCAAAUGAAUCGUAAUGGUUGUGAAUGUCAAGCAGUUGAUUAUCCUCAGAAGAUCAAGGACUUGACGAAGCAAUACUGGGCUGUUCCUGUGGCCGUUGUUGGCAUCUCUGUGGUUGUUGGCUUCUUCUACUUGCGCAAGAAGUGAUUCAAUACAAUUUUGCCCAUUUGUUACCACUCAAAAGGAAAGUCCUCACAAUUUUGAAUAAGUGAGACAAUAGCCGCUGAGGAAACUAGGCCAUUGUUGUUCACAAGUAUUGGGGAGAGAAUAUGCAUAUUAUUUUGAUUGAGAGAUUUAUGUACGGAUUUCAAAUAUGACAUUUACAAAUUUUUAGUAGAUGUAUGUCAUUGAAAUUGGUGGGAAUCAAUG